RNAcentral lists this ribosomal RNA (433 nucleotides) under uncultured bacterium. RNAcentral's name for it is "partial 16S ribosomal RNA". It matches the Rfam family "Bacterial small subunit ribosomal RNA", at positions 29 to 507 of the family's 1533-position model. The record is from RNAcentral.
AACGAACGCUGGCGGCAUGCCUAACACAUGCAAGUCGAACGAUCCCUUCGGGGAUAGUGGCGCACGGGUGCGUAACGCGUGGGAACCUGCCCUUAGGUUCGGAAUAACUCAGAGAAAUUUGAGCUAAUACCGGAUAAUGUCUUCGGACCAAAGAUUUAUCGCCUUUGGAUGGGCCCGCGUUGGAUUAGCUAGUUGGUGGGGUAAAGGCCUACCAAGGCGACGAUCCAUAGCUGGUCUGAGAGGAUGAUCAGCCACACUGGGACUGAGACACGGCCCAGACUCCUACGGGAGGCAGCAGUGGGGAAUAUUGGACAAUGGGCGAAAGCCUGAUCCAGCAAUGCCGCGUGAGUGAUGAAGGCCUUAGGGUUGUAAAGCUCUUUUACCCGGGAUGAUAAUGACAAUACCGGGAGAAUAAGCCCCGGCUAACUCCGUG